CCAACUUCCUCAGGGGCUGGUUCUCACAGAUGUAGAGAAUGUUAUCCGGUUCACAGUGAAACACAUUCUUGAUCUUCUCCAUGAUCCUAAGAGCCAAGAUAGUCUUCCCUGAUCCAGGAACAUGGAUGGAGCUGAAGGCCAUGAUCCUAAGCAAACUGACACAGGAAGAGAAAAACAAAUACUGGAUGUUCUCACUUAUAAGUGGGAGCUAAACAAUGAGUACAUAUGUAUACAAAGAAGGGAACAACAGACAUGGGAGGGCCUACUUGAGGAUGGAGUUUGGGAGGAAGGGCAGGAGUGUUACGAGGGGAUAUGAAAGGACAUUUGGAUAUAAGACCUUCAACUACAGGUUUGAGCCCUUCCUUUGCUUCUGACUUCAAUGGAUAUUGUGGAAGUCUGGGUAAUGGUUUCACAGGAUCUGUCUGAAUUAAGUAAGUUCUGCUUAUUAUUUUGCUGCUCCAAUUAUUCGUCCAGUGAAGUGGAAUUUUUAUUUUUUAUUUAUUUUUUUUUCAUUUCUUUUUUUAAUUGCAUUUUAGGUUUUGAGGUACAUGUGAAGAACAUGCAAGAUAGUUGCAUAGGUACACACGUGGCAGUGUGAUAUGCUGCCUUCCUCCCCUUCACCCACAUUUGGCAUUUCUCCCCAGGCUAUCCCUCCCCAGAUCCCCCCACCACUGUCCCUCCCCUAUUCCCCCCAAUAAACCCCAGUGUG
Molecule: non-coding RNA, 709 nt
Organism: Callithrix jacchus (white-tufted-ear marmoset)
Lineage: Eukaryota; Metazoa; Chordata; Mammalia; Primates; Cebidae
Source: RefSeq, a predicted model, not a curated record